Molecule: ribosomal RNA, 484 nt
Filed under: uncultured bacterium
Lineage: Bacteria
Description: partial 16S ribosomal RNA
Rfam family: Bacterial small subunit ribosomal RNA
Source: RNAcentral
AUUGAACGCUGGCGGCAUGCCUUACACAUGCAAGUCGAACGGCAGCACGGACUUCGGUCUGGUGGCGAGUGGCGAACGGGUGAGUAAUGUAUCGGAACGUACCUUUCAGUGGGGGAUAACGUAGCGAAAGUUACGCUAAUACCGCAUAUUCUGUGAGCAGGAAAGCAGGGGAUCGAAAGACCUUGCGCUGAUUGAUCGGCCGAUAUCAGAUUAGCUAGUUGGUGGGGUAAAGGCCUACCAAGGCGACGAUCUGUAGCGGGUCUGAGAGGAUGAUCCGCCACACUGGAACUGAGACACGGUCCAGACUCCUACGGGAGGCAGCAGUGGGGAAUUUUGGACAAUGGGGGCAACCCUGAUCCAGCCAUGCCGCGUGAGUGAAGAAGGCCUUCGGGUUGUAAAGCUCUUUCGGCCGGGAAGAAAUCGCAUAGGCUAAUACCCUGUGUGGAUGACGGUACCGGAAUAAGAAGCACCGGCUAACUACGUG